This 253-nucleotide ribosomal RNA is filed under the name uncultured bacterium. RNAcentral's name for it is "partial 16S ribosomal RNA". It matches the Rfam family "Bacterial small subunit ribosomal RNA", at positions 524 to 776 of the family's 1533-position model. The record is from RNAcentral.
UACGUAGGUGGCGAGCGUUGUCCGGAUUUACUGGGCGUAAAGGGAGCGUAGGCGGAUUUUUAAGUGGGAUGUGAAAUACUCAGGCUCAACCUGGGGGCUGCAUUCCAAACUGGAAGUCUAGAGUGCAGGAGAGGAGAGUGGAAUUCCUAGUGUAGCGGUGAAAUGCGUAGAGAUUAGGAAGAACACCAGUGGCGAAGGCGACUCUCUGGACUGUAACUGACGCUGAGGCUCGAAAGCGUGGGGAGCAAACAGG